GUAGGGAGUAUUCGGCAAUGGGGGAAACCCUGACCGAGCAACGCCGCGUGAAUGAUGACGGCCUUCGGGUUGUAAAAUUCUGUGGCGAGGAACGAAUGGCAAGGAGAGGAAAUGCUCUUUGUUUGACGGUACCUCGCUAGAAAGCCACGGCUAACUACGUGCCAGCAGCCGCGGUAAUACGUAGGUGGCAAGCGUUAUCCGGAAUUAUUGGGCGUAAAGAGUGAGCAGGCGGUUUUUUAAGUCUGAAGUCAAAUCCUGUGGCUCAACCACAGUUCGCUUUGGAAACUGAAGAACUAGAGUGCGGGAGAGGUAAGCGGAAUUCCAUAUGUAGCGGUGAAAUGCACAGAUAUAUGGAGGAACACCGGUGGCGAAGGCGGCUUACCAGCCCGAUACUGACGCUCAGUCACGAAAGCGUGGGGAGCAAAUAGGCUUAGAAACCCUAGUAGUCC
RNAcentral lists this ribosomal RNA (449 nucleotides) under uncultured bacterium. RNAcentral's name for it is "bacterial SSU rRNA". It matches the Rfam family "Bacterial small subunit ribosomal RNA", at positions 354 to 796 of the family's 1533-position model. The record is from RNAcentral.